CUGCUGUAAGGUCCUCAUGAUUCAAGACAGAAAAGGGCUGGAAGCCCAGCACUUUCUGAUGUUUAAAAGCAUUUUAAUCAGAGCAGCUGUACUGAAUGGGUAAAUGGCAGCAGGGAGCCCUUCACAGCUGCUGGAGAUUUUGGGCCUGCCCUUUACAUGGGCAAAAUGUGUCUUCUGUGCUUCUUGCUUGUGUGCUGCAAACCCUGUACAACACCAGGAUUUCCAUGGAGAUGGAGGCAUUGCAUAUUGUCGAGGAUUUGCUUUAGCACAGCCUGCAAAUAUUCACACAGCUCUCACAGAAUGAGCUACUUCUGCUUGGCUGGAAGUGAAAGCUCGGCACUUGAGAAGCAUCCAUCUUACCUGGAUCGCACACUGCAUGAGAUCUGCACAUGUUCGUACAACGUCUAAGAGA
Molecule: long non-coding RNA, 412 nt
Filed under: Gallus gallus (chicken)
Lineage: Eukaryota; Metazoa; Chordata; Aves; Galliformes; Phasianidae
Description: lncRNA (ENSGALG00010010608.1)
Source: RNAcentral